GAUGAACGCUGGCGGCGUGCCUAAUACAUGCAAGUCGAGCGAACAGACGAGGAGCUUGCUCCUCUGACGUUAGCGGCGGACGGGUGAGUAACACGUGGAUAACCUACCUAUAAGACUGGGAUAACUUCGGGAAACCGGAGCUAAUACCGGAUAAUAUAUUGAACCGCAUGGUUCAAUAGUGAAAGACGGUUUUGCUGUCACUUAUAGAUGGAUCCGGGUCGCAUUAGCUAGUUGGUAAGGUAACGGCUUACCAAGGCAACGAUGCGUAGCCGACCUGAGAGGGUGAUCGGCCACACUGGAACUGAGACACGGUCCAGACUCCUACGGGAGGCAGCAGUAGGGAAUAUUCCGCAAUGGGCGAAAGCCUGAUGGAGCAAUGCCGCGUGAGUGAUGAAGGUCUUCGGAUCGUAAAGCUCUUUUAGUAGGGAAGAACAAAUGUGUAAGUAACUAUUCACGUCUUGACGUUACCUAAACAGAAAGCCACGGCUAACUACGUG
This 497-nucleotide ribosomal RNA is filed under the name uncultured bacterium. RNAcentral describes it as "partial 16S ribosomal RNA". It matches the Rfam family "Bacterial small subunit ribosomal RNA", at positions 28 to 507 of the family's 1533-position model. The record is from RNAcentral.